GGUGACUAUGGGAUGCAUCCAGUAGAAGAGGCAUUCCGGGAGGGGAGGAUUUAUUCCUAAUCACAGCUGUCUUCAUUGGAUGAUGGUUGUUGGGAUAUCUUUAAUCCAGAUGUUCUCCUUGGAUAUUGUCCUGUGGGAAAUCCCA
Equus caballus (horse) is the source of this 145-nucleotide microRNA precursor. NCBI's taxonomy places the organism in Eukaryota, Metazoa, Chordata, Mammalia, Perissodactyla, Equidae. The record is from Ensembl.